This 242-nucleotide ribosomal RNA is filed under the name uncultured bacterium. RNAcentral's name for it is "partial 16S ribosomal RNA". It matches the Rfam family "Bacterial small subunit ribosomal RNA", at positions 29 to 250 of the family's 1533-position model. The record is from RNAcentral.
AGCGAACGUUAGCGGCGGGCUUAACACAUGCAAGUCGCACGAGAACGAGGGGGCAACUCCUCUAGUAAAGUGGCGCACGGGUGCGUAACACGUAGGUGAACUACCCUCCGAUGGGGGACGAACCGGCCGAAAGGCUGGCUAAUACCGCGUAAGUCAACGGGGCGAUUCGAGCCCUGUUGGGAAAGCGGCCCUCUUCACGAAAGGUCGCGUCGGAGGUUGUGCCUGCGGCCCAUCAGCUAGUU